Molecule: ribosomal RNA, 830 nt
Filed under: Brunneoclavispora bambusae
Lineage: Eukaryota; Fungi; Ascomycota; Dothideomycetes; Pleosporales; Halotthiaceae
Description: eukaryotic LSU rRNA
Rfam family: Eukaryotic large subunit ribosomal RNA
Source: RNAcentral
ACGGCGAGUGAAGCGGCAACAGCUCAAAUUUGAAAUCUGGCUCCUUUGGGGUCCGAGUUGUAAUUUGCAGAGGGAGCUUUGGUGUUGGCAGCGGUCUAAGUUCCCUGGAACAGGACGUCACAGAGGGUGAGAACCCCGUACGUGGCCGCCCGCCUUCGCCGUGUAAAGCCCCUUCGACGAGUCGAGUUGUUUGGGAAUGCAGCUCUAAAUGGGAGGUAAAUUUCUUCUAAAGCUAAAUACUGGCCAGAGACCGAUAGCGCACAAGUAGAGUGAUCGAAAGAUGAAAAGCACUUUGGAAAGAGAGUCAAAAAGCACGUGAAAUUGUUGAAAGGGAAGCGCUUGCAGCCAGACUUGCCCGCAGUUGCUCACCUAGGCGUCAGCCUGGGGCACUCUUCUGCGGGCAGGCCAGCAUCAGCCCUGGCGGUUGGACAAAGGCUCGUGACACGUACCUCCCCUCGGGGAGGACUUAUAGGGCGAGCGUCACACAACCAGCUGGGGCUGAGGUCCGCGCAUCUGCUAGGAUGCUGGCGUAAUGGCUGUCAGCGGCCCGUCUUGAAACACGGACCAAGGAGUCUAACAUCUAUGCGAGUGUUUGGGUGUCAAGCCCGGGCGCGUAAUGAAAGUGAACGGAGGUGGGAACCCGGUGCACCAUCGACCGAUCCUGAUGUCUUCGGAUGGAUUUGAGUAAGAGCAUAGCUGUUGGGACCCGAAAGAUGGUGAACUAUGCCUGAAUAGGGUGAAGCCAGAGGAAACUCUGGUGGAGGCUCGCAGCGGUUCUGACGUGCAAAUCGAUCGUCAAAUUUGGGCAUAGGGGCGAAAGACUAAUCGAA